This 73-nucleotide transfer RNA is filed under the name Nicotiana attenuata. It matches the Rfam family "tRNA". Rfam says of the family: Transfer RNA (tRNA) molecules are approximately 80 nucleotides in length. Their secondary structure includes four short double-helical elements and three loops (D, anti-codon, and T loops). The record is from Rfam by way of RNAcentral. Lineage: Eukaryota; Viridiplantae; Streptophyta; Magnoliopsida; Solanales; Solanaceae.
UCUCUUGUACCUCAGUUGGUUAGAGCACUCGCUUAGUAAGCAGAAGUCUUGAGUUUGACUCCCAACAAGAGCA